RNAcentral lists this small RNA (18 nucleotides) under Arabidopsis thaliana (thale cress). Lineage: Eukaryota; Viridiplantae; Streptophyta; Magnoliopsida; Brassicales; Brassicaceae. The record is from RNAcentral.
UUUGAAAGAGAGUAAAAC